RNAcentral lists this ribosomal RNA (389 nucleotides) under uncultured eukaryote. RNAcentral's name for it is "partial 18S ribosomal RNA". It matches the Rfam family "Eukaryotic small subunit ribosomal RNA", at positions 592 to 976 of the family's 1831-position model. The record is from RNAcentral.
CAGUAGCGUAUAUUAAUACUGUUGCAGUUAAAAGGCUCGUAGUCGAACUUGUGGCCAAUGUGAUCAAUCCCAAUACCAAGUGUAUUGAGCGAUUUAUUACAUGGCCAUGCUCCUUGGGAGUAUUGGGUGCACUUGAUUGAGCAACCUAUACAAACAAGGUCAUUUACUGUGAGAAAAUCAGCGUGUUCAAAGCAGGCUUGUAAAGCUUGAAUGUUGUAGCAUGGAAUAAUGAGAUAGGACUUUUUGGUUUUAUUUCGUUGGCUUGAAAACCAAAGUAAUGAUUGAUAGGGAUAGUUGGGGGUGCUAGUAUUUAACGGUCAGCGGUGAAAUGCGGAGACCCGUUAAAGACUAACUUAUGCGAAAGCAUUCACCAAGGAUAUCUUCUUUGA